RNAcentral lists this ribosomal RNA (275 nucleotides) under uncultured bacterium. RNAcentral describes it as "partial 16S ribosomal RNA". It matches the Rfam family "Bacterial small subunit ribosomal RNA", at positions 338 to 630 of the family's 1533-position model. The record is from RNAcentral.
CCUACGGGGGGCUGCAGUAACGAAUCUUCCGCAAUGCACGCAAGUGUGACGGAGCGACGCCGCGUGUGGGAUGAAGUCCUUCGGGAUGUAAACCACUGUCAGGGGUUAGAAAGUUCUGAUCAACCCCAGAGGAAGGGGCGACUAACUCUGUGCCAGCAGUCGCGGUAAUACAGAGGCCCCAAGCGUUCGGCGGAAUCACUGGGCUUAAAGCGUGUGUAGGCGGCCCGAUAAGUACUUUGUGAAAUCCCACGGCUCAACCGUGGAACUGCUUGGUA